This 668-nucleotide ribosomal RNA is filed under the name uncultured bacterium. RNAcentral's name for it is "bacterial SSU rRNA". It matches the Rfam family "Bacterial small subunit ribosomal RNA", at positions 8 to 658 of the family's 1533-position model. The record is from RNAcentral.
AGAGUUUGAUCCUGGCUCAGGACGAACGCUGGCGGCGUGCUUAACACAUGCAAGUCGAACGGGGCGUUUAUUUCGGUAAACGCCAAGUGGCGAACGGGUGAGUAACGCGUAAGCAAUCUGCCUUCAAGAUGGGGACAACACCGCGAAAGUGGUGCUAAUACCGAAUGAAGGUGAAAAAGUCGCAUGACGGUUUCACUAAAGGAGGCCGAAAGGCUUCCGCUUGAAGAUGAGCUUGCGUCUGAUUAGCUGGUUGGCGAGGGUAAAGGCCCACCAAGGCGACGAUCAGUAGCCGGUCUGAGAGGAUGAACGGCCACAUUGGGACUGAGACACGGCCCAGACUCCUACGGGAGGCAGCAGUGGGGAAUAUUCCGCAAUGGGCGAAAGCCUGACGGAGCAACGCCGCGUGAACGAAGAAGGUCUUAGGAUCGUAAAGUUCUGUUGUUAGGGGCGAAGGGUGCUGUUUUGAACAAGGGCGGCAUUUGACGGUACUUAACGAGGAAGCCACGGCUAACUACGUGCCAGCAGCCGCGGUAAUACGUAGGCGGCAAGCGUUGUCCGGAAUUAUUGGGCGUAAAGGGAGCGCAGGCGGGAGAUUAAGCGGACUUUAAAAGUGCGGGGCUCAACCCCGUGAGGGGGUCCGAACUGAUCUUCUUGAGUGCAGGAGAGGG